RNAcentral lists this ribosomal RNA (301 nucleotides) under uncultured bacterium. Its description in RNAcentral is "partial 16S ribosomal RNA". It matches the Rfam family "Bacterial small subunit ribosomal RNA", at positions 509 to 808 of the family's 1533-position model. The record is from RNAcentral.
CAGCAGCCGCGGUAAUACGAAGGGUGCAAGCGUUAAUCGGAAUUACUGGGCGUAAAGCGCGCGUAGGUGGUUUGGUAAGAUGGAUGUGAAAUCCCCGGGCUCAACCUGGGAACUGCAUCCAUAACUGCCUGACUAGAGUACGGUAGAGGGUGGUGGAAUUUCCUGUGUAGCGGUGAAAUGCGUAGAUAUAGGAAGGAACACCAGUGGCGAAGGCGACCACCUGGACUGAUACUGACACUGAGGUGCGAAAGCGUGGGGAGCAAACAGGAUUAGAUACCCCAGUGUCCCUGUCUCUUAUACA